Molecule: ribosomal RNA, 465 nt
Filed under: uncultured bacterium
Lineage: Bacteria
Description: partial 16S ribosomal RNA
Rfam family: Bacterial small subunit ribosomal RNA
Source: RNAcentral
GACGAACGCUGGCGGCGUGCUUAACACAUGCAAGUCGUACGGUAAGGCCCUUUCGGGGUUACACGAGUGGCGAACGGGUGAGUAAGACGUGAGUAACCAGCCCACACCUUUGGGUUAACGCUAGGAAACUAGUGCUAAUUACGGAUAUAUGCCAUUGCCGCCUGGGGGGGGUUGGGAGGAUCGUGGGGGUGUGGGUGGACUCGCGGGCUGAUAGCUUGUUGGUGGGUUAGUGGGCUACCAAGGCGGCGACGGGUAGCCGGGCAGUGGGGGUGACCGGCCACACUGGGACUGAGGUACGGCCCAGACUCCUACGGGAGGCAGAAGGGGGGAAUAUUGCACAAUGGGCGCAAGCCUGAUGCAGCAAGGCCGCGGGCGGGAUGACGGCCUUCGGGUUGUAAACCGCUUUCAGCAGGGACGAAGCUUUUUGUGACGGUACCUGCAGAAGAAGCACCGGCUAACUACGUG